GACGAACGCUGGCGGCGUGCUUAACACAUGCAAGUCGAACGGAAAGGCCCUGCUUUUGUGGGGUGCUCGAGUGGCGAACGGGUGAGUAACACGUGAGUAACCUGCCCUCGACUUUGGGAUAACUUCAGGAAACUGGGGCUAAUACCGGAUAGGAGCUCCUGCUGCAUGGUGGGGGUUGGAAAGUUUCGGCGGUUGGGGAUGGACUCGCGGCUUAUCAGCUUGUUGGUGGGGUAGUGGCUUACCAAGGCUUUGACGGGUAGCCGGCCUGAGAGGGUGACCGGCCACAUUGGGACUGAGAUACGGCCCAGACUCCUACGGGAGGCAGCAGUGGGGAAUAUUGCACAAUGGGCGGAAGCCUGAUGCAGCAACGCCGCGUGCGGGAUGACGGCCUUCGGGUUGUAAACCGCUUUCGCCUGUGACGAAGCGUGAGGGACGGUAAUGGGUAAAGAAGCACCGGCUAACUACGU
Molecule: ribosomal RNA, 467 nt
Filed under: uncultured bacterium
Lineage: Bacteria
Description: partial 16S ribosomal RNA
Rfam family: Bacterial small subunit ribosomal RNA
Source: RNAcentral